AGGUUUAAAUAAGUAAAAAUCUCAUAAGACUGGAUGAAGACGUAAAAAGUCAUUACAGAAUUUCCCAAAACCUGGGUGUCAUUGAGUACAUGUGCAUCUAUAUAAUGACAUAGUUUGAGACACUGUCUAAGAAAGUAGAACUGAAUAAGUAAAACUGAGAGAUAGGGAAAGGAGAGUCAAGGUCUGCAGACUCCAAGGCAGCUACCUCGAUAAUCUCCGAACGGCUGAAACACCUGAAUCUGCAUACAAAUUGUAGGGUGUAGCGUGAGUACAAUCAACUCAAUAAGUAAGAAUUAUAGUCCACAUACAGAAUUAACAGUACGGAGAAUUACAGAAAUUAGGGCAACAAUAUCACAGAGAAUUCAUAAUAUGCAGGUAACAGUACAAGAAUUUAGACACACUUCCACAUUUAACAGUUAAGCUCAAUACAGGUAAAGUCGGAAUGAUAUGAGGGAUAUGACAUCUCUAUAUCUAUAUUCCAAUAUGCAUAUCGUAUGUGGUGCAACACAAUGAAGCCUCGCGUACUCACACUCUUCGCUGGUGCAAUCGUAUCAUACCUGGUGCACUUCAGCAAUCCCUCAAGUCCAAACUUCAAUCUGUUAACCAUCCGAACUCCACUCGAGGCCCUUGGGACCUCAACCAAACAUAGUAACAAGUCCUAAAGUAUGACACAUACUUAGACGAGGCCUCAAAACACAUCAAACAACAUCAAAAGCACGAAUCUCACCUCAAUUCGAGCCUAAUGAAAACUACAAACUUCCAACUUCUUCAAUCGAUGCCAAAACCUAUCAAAUCACGUCUUAUUAACCCCAAAUUUUGCACAUAAGACAUAAAUGACAAAAUAGAUCUAUUCCAACUCUCGUAACAAAAAUCUGAGUCUGUUAGCCACAAAGUCAACUCUUGGUCUAACUUUCCAAUUUUCAACACUUCUAAUUUUCCGACUUUCACCAUUUCAACACAAAAUUAACUACGGACUUCCAAAUUACUAUCCGGACUCACUUCUAAGUCCAAAAUCACCAUACAGAGCUAGAGGAACCAUGAAAACUCUAUUCCGGACCAUUUACACACAUCCGGUCAACCUUUUUAAUUUAAGAUUCCAAUGUUGAGACUAAGUAUCUCAACUGAUUCUCAAAUGUCCGCGGACCCAAACCAACUACCCCGACAAGUCACAUAACAAUAGUUCAGCAUCGAAUAAGCAUUCAAUGGGGAAACGUGGCUACAAUAUUCAAAAUGACCGGCCGGGUCAUCAUAUCCUCCCCCUGUUGAACAAACGUUUGUCCUCGAAAGGGUCUAGAAACAUGCCUGGAGUAUCAAAUAGGCAUGGACAUCUGCUCCGCAUCUCCUGCUCGGUCUCCCAAGUAGCCUCCUCAACUGUUGACCUCUCCAUUGUAGCUUCAAUGAAGCUAUGUUCUUUGACCUCAACUUUAGAACCUACCUAUCCAAAAUGGCUACCGGCUCCACAUCAUAAGUCAAAUCACAAUACAAAUGAAUCGUGCUGAAUUCCAUACAAUUAAAGGAUCAUCGAUAUAUUUUCGAAGCAUCAAAACAUGAAACACUAGAUGAACACUUGACAGACUAGGCGGUAAUACAAGGUUGAAGGCAAACAAUCUCGCGGAUGUUGAUCUCAGCCAACCUCUCUAAUGAAUAAGUAGUACCAAUUGGAAUAAAAUGCACGGACUUGGUCAACUGAUCCACAAUCACCGAAAUAGCAUACCAUUUCCUUGAAUCCUAUGGGAGCCAAAAUACGAAGUCAAUGGUGAUAUGCUGCCAUUUACACUUUGGAAUCUCAAGCCUUUGAAAUAAUCCGCCCGGUCUCUGAUGCUUGUACUUUACCUGAUGACAGUUUAGGGAUCAAGCUACAAACCCCACUAUAUCUUUCUUCAUCCUUGUCUACCAACAGUGUUUCCUCAAGGCCUGGUCCAUUUUUGCAGCACCCGGAUGAAUGGAAUACCACAAAAUAUUGGCCUCUUCAAGAGUCGACUCACGCAGCCCAUCUACAUUAGGCACACAAAUCUGACCUUGCAUCCUCAACACCUCAUCAUAACCAAUAGUAACCUCCUUAGCAUUACCGUGUUGAAAUGUAUCCUUAAGGACAAGCAAAUGGGGAAUAUCAUACCGUCGUUCUCCUAUGAGAUCAUAUAAGAAAGGCCAAAAAAUCAAACAAGCUAGAACCCGACUAGGCUCCAAAAUAUCUAAUCUCGCAAAAUGAAUGGCCAAUGCCUGAACAUAUGAUGCAAGCGGUCUCUCACUACCAAGAAUAAAAGAAAGGCUACCCAUACUCACUGCCUUCCUACUCAAAGCAUUGGCCACCACAUUGGCCUUUCCGGGAUGAUAUAAAAUGAUAAUAUCAUAGUCCUUUAGCAUCUCCAACCAUGCGUUACAUGCUUCCUCAAUGUAUGGGUAUUCUGCUUCUUGAAAUCAUGAAACCAUGGAUUUCCAUCGAACUUUUCUUCAACAUGAGCACAACAAGCUGGCUGGUUACGGAUUUCUAUUGGGAUGAGAUCAAUAUAGUUCUCGUCUAGAUGUUAUAUCAUAGAAGACAAGGUUUCUAGCGCAUCCACAAACUCAUUCUGAACUCUCGAAACAUGUUUGAACUCUACCUUUGUGAACCACUUGAUCAAAUCUUGCACACAGUGUAGGUAUGGCAACAUCUUGGUGUUCUUGGUUGCUCAUUCUCUAAGUACCUUAUGUAUUAGCAAAUCUGAAUCUCCAAUUACUAGCAAUUCCUUAAUAUUCAUGUCAAUGGCGAAUCUGAGUCCUCAGAUGCAAGCCUAAUAUUCCGCCCUAUUGUUGGUGCACGGGAACUUGAGCUUGGCGGAUACUAGAUAAUGUUGACCGGUUUCUGAUGCGAAAAUAGCUCAUAUGCCCACUCUUUGAAUUUUGUGGCUCCAUAUAAAAACAUCCUCCAACCAUCAUACGCUUCAACAAUGUCUUCCCCUAUGAAUGAUACUUCCUCGUAGGGAAUAUGCGUCUUCAAUGGUUCAUAUUCUCUGUCCAUAGGGUUCUCCGCAAAGUGAUCGGCCAAUAGUUGCCCCUUGACUACCUUCUGGGUCACAUAGAGGAUGUCGAACUCACUCAGUAGUAUUUUCCAUUUUGCUAGCUUGCCCAUAUGCAUAGGCUUCUAAAAUAUGUAUUUUAGUGAAUCCAUCCUUGAUAUGAGUUAUGUGGUGUAUGCAUAGAAGUAAUGUCUCAAUUUCUGGGCUAUCCAUGUCAGGGUGAAACAGGUAUGUUCCGAUGACGCCUAAAUCCACUACUAAAAAUGAAUGGAUACGGUCACAUGCAAUAAUAUACCCAAUUAUAAGUCGAGGUCAAAUCCCACAGAGAACAAUAUGUAGGCAAUUAGGAGUGUAAGAGAAUUAUCACUUAUUAUGCUAAGCCAAACACUUAGAAUGAUUUUAAGAAAAUAUUUAUAGCUAAAUGCAAAAAUAUAAACUAAGCUAUAAAGCAAGUAAAAUGAUCAAUGGCUACAAGCACAGAUGCAAUGGGAAUUACACUCAAGUAACGAUCCAAUGUAUUUCACAAUUUUACAAAUAUGAGCAAGUUUAUUUUAAUUAGCCUCGGUUAAUAAUUCUUUAUUAGCUUCUUCCGAAGACUAACAAGACUUCCUAGUUGAAUUAUCCCUAAAACAAUUAAGAGAUUAGGUACACUCGAAUAUGGCUACAAGUAGUUCAAUCUUGUCCCUAGGUAGAAUCCAUAAAGUGAUGGUUAAAGCCUCAAGUUCUUGUUAAUCAAUCUUUCCCAACCCCAAAUUGUCUUUCCCAAAAUUAAUUCGAAGUAAAUGGGCGAGUCCUAGGGUUAGCUAAUCCCUUUGACAACAUUAAAGAAUAAGAAUAAUUAAAUAAACAAUAACUCACUUCAAUAUAACUAAAAAUUGUUCAAUACAUAAGCACAACAAGAUAUUUAAUCCACACUUUAAUAUGAAUAUUUCCAUUAACAAGAUUCAAGUGUUGAAAAAAAUACUACACACUUAAAUAUUCAAUAUAAAGUAAGGAAAUGAAGAAAUGAGCAUAAAUGAGUAAGCAAUUCUCAACCAAAAGCUUCAAAUCUUCAAGACCUAAGUGUGUGUGCAAGCUGACCAGGCUUUCUUUUUGGCAUUCGCACAGCUUCAACCGCGUUCGCAUAGCUUCAUUAACCCGGACUUCUGCGAUUGCAUAUAACUCUCCGUGAUAUUAAACUAGUACUUGUCCUCAAGCAAUUCGACAACUAAGAACAUCAUUAAAUAAAAUAAGCUCAAUGGCGUAUCAAACAUCAUUUCAGCUCACAAAGGUUCAAAUUGGACACAAUCUAGUGACUUCAGUUGGUACCAACAAUCAAUCCAAAAAAUAUGAAUCACCAACAAUUUCUCACAAAUUCCAUUUAAAUUUAAGUGCUGAAACACCACAGUAAUCAAAGUAGAAACCAAGUCAUGACACUAAAGCUUCAAAAUUUGCCUCAUUAUUACAAAUAAUUUUCUUUUGUACAUUCCUGCCUAUUGGAUUUUGGAUUAAGUUCAAAACCUAAAAUUUUCUGUGCCCUCACACUUAAGACAGAGUCACCAACAUAUAAAUUGCAAUUAAUAAACAAAUGGGAUAUCAAAUGGAAAGAAUUAAUGCUCUCUCAUACAAAGAUAUUCAAAUGCACAUAAGUAAUGACAUAUGCUUGCCCUUCAAGUAUUUCUCCACUAAUGUAGACACUUGGUUCAAAAUAAAGUAGGACUUAAAGGAUGGUAGAGUAGGUUUUUGGUUAAGGUAGGACACAACAUGGAUAACAGUGACUCAAAACCUCCCUAAGCACUAUAAUUUUCAACUAUUAAAGCACACUUCCUUCAAAAAUUUAUCCAUCCUUUCUUCACUUUUUAUUUCAUACCUAAUCUUCCCUUUAUCCACAAAUCCUUAUUUUUUUCCCUUUUCUUCUUUAUUACUCUACUUUUUUCAUAAAUCAAGGAAGGUUCCACUACUAUUUUUUUAUUACCUUUCACCUUUUCUGCAACUUACACAACAUAACUUUUCCAACCUUCAGCCACAAACUUAGGCUUUUAGCCUAUGUUUACACUUUCAAAGUACUUAGGGAGGUAGGAUGCCAAAAGAUAAAUCAAUAAAGAAUGAAGGGUUUAAGCUUGUAACAUAGUUGCCAAAGAAAAAGUUUAAAGGCUCAAAAGGGGCUGACUAGGGAAAAUCUGCAAGGGUAGAAAAUUUAAGGCAUAAUAACGGUCCAAGGAAGGCCUAACAUCAUUUUUCAAACCAAGUUAGUCUAGGAUUUUGCUUUGAAGCACAUUCCGGGCAAGUUCUAGACUACAAAUAAUGCACGAGAAUUCACAACAAGUCUCACCACACAUGGCACAUGGAAACUCGAUUGCCAUAUAAAUCCAAAAUCCAAUUAAAAUCAAUAAACCGAAAGAAAAUCACAUAUAGCCUAAAAGACCACUUAAUGAAUCAAAGAGCCAAAAAUAGAACCUAAACUUCACAACAAGUAUUAUCACAUCAAUCAUUUUUCAUUUUAAAGAUCAAGAUUUCAUAUAUCAAAGUUUAAAUCAUGUUGGUACCAAACAAGCUACACGUUGGUUUAUGGACAAUAAGAUCACAACCCAAAACCAAUUUAUUCACUAUUAGCUACUAAACUAACUAAAUUUUUUUUACCUAAAACUAGACAAGACUAAUCCUUUAAGAAAGUUGUCACGCUAUCCAUCAUAGAGAAAAGUCACCCGGUUCGACACAAAUUAUCUUCUUGAAAAAGAACAGUGACAUAAAUAAAAAUCAAGGAGUUUAAUUAGCACUACUACAAAUAAAUAUAGUAACGAAAUAACAAAAUAAAAACUAAUGCUAACAUGCUAGAAAUAAACUACAAAAUAUCACUAAUAAACUACAAAUGUUAACCAAUCUACACAAGUUCACAAAAAAUCGUCAUGCUCCAAAUACAUCAUCACAUAUUAAUGAGCUACCCCUAACCUAAAGUGUUGCACUGUCCUCAAUGCAACUAAACAAAACAAGAUGAAAUGAAAGAGGUGCUCCCUGAAACUGCAUCACUUGGAGCUGAAAGUGGUGGGAAAUUCGAGCUCCAAAUUCUGCUCCUCAUCGUCCUCUGAUUCAUGUGAGCCACAGAAUGAACUCAUCUUGUGCAUCAUUUUGGACAAGACUUUUCUUUUCUUUUUCUCAUGCUCAUUGAAAUUCUGUUGUUGCCUCUCAAUAUUUCCUUGUCUUCGGCUCAUGUCUUCCAACCUAUUUUUUAUUGCUUUUUGUUCUUGAACUACAUCAUCUAGAGAUGUCUUCUUACCAGUCCCAGUAGAAGUUCCCUCCCUAGAUUGACUGGACGGAAGGCUAGCUACAAGUUGGCAAAUGUGUGCAUCGAUGCCAUAGAUUUGACUAGAGAGGAAGCGCAUAGUGGGAGGUCCAUAAAUUCCUAAAUUAUAGAUUUGUCAUCCAUAAUAGCAGCAAUCAACAAUGCCUUCUCAGGCGUCGCCUCAAACUCAUGUUUAGACGGCAAGAUUCUGGUAGCAAUAAUGGACAGCCAUGUCUUGGCUUCAACUAUGAACCAGGAAGAAUUAACACCUUUGUGCAAUCUUUCCCAAGUCAGAGUCACCCGUAGUCCGCAACACAUUUUAUAUAACAUUGUUGAGAUUUGGAUUUGGGUCACAUGAAAUGCACACCGGAGUUUAGGAAGGUAAUUUAAAAUUACGCGCCUAAAGCAACUACGCACUUUAAAGUUUGCAAGGGCCAUGGAAAAUUCAACUAAUGGCACACCUCGAUUCUAAUUUCAAAGGAUGUUUGAACUAAACUUUUGAGGGUCAUAAAUUAUAUCUUGCCUAAUAUGGCACACCUCUAAUUAUUUCAAAGGGUUUUAUUAUUUGAAGUUGUUAUAAUCGGGUUACAUGAAAUGCAUACCUGAAUUUAGAAAAUUAAGCAUCGUAACUAUGUCACAGGAACCGUACCCAUAAUCACGAUGGUUUAUUAUUAAUCGCGUCUAAAGUAAGCUAUGAUGUUUAAAGAACAAACUCAAACAAGUGACACUGGAACAUCAACCAACAGAGCAGAUGGCCAAGAAAUUCAAAAAUCCACAUCAAUUAAAUCAACAAAGAAAUAGCAAUUUGAAGAAUUCUAUAUGAGCUCAGCUCAAAGACAAUGUGAAUGGAACUGAAGCAAGAAUUUCAGUGCAAUGUAUCAAAAACGAGACUACUGAAUCACUCAAGCUUGGCCAAUCGAGUUUGCGCACAAAAAUUUGUUCCUUGAAAGACUAUUUCCACGAAUGAGCUUAUAGAUUCUAGGCACCCCAUGCUCAUUUGUUUAGAGCAAAUUAAGAACAAUCCAAAGAACAACAAAUCAUGACUUAAUCUAUUGGUAAUUAAUCAUAUAGUAGCCAACAAUUGCGAUUAAAUUGAUGUAAUGAAAUUCCUUCAGUUCUACCUAUGGGACUACACCAAUUAGUCGUUCAUUUGCCUUUUACAUGUUUUCAUUAACGUUUCCCUUCACCAUUUCACAAGAAGACAAAGAAGAAAAAUGCACAUUUAUAUGUUUGUUUCCAAUAGAAUAAACACAAUAAAUUCUAACUUAGCAACUCAACCUUAUGUUUCAAUGUAAGGCUCCAGCGAUUAAACAGAUCAAUAAUAAUUAUCAAACAAAAUAAUGACCGAGAUGGUGACAUAUGAAAAAUUUCUAACAAUUCUUAUUACCAAUAAAAUAUGCAAAUUUAUAUUGUUUAAUCAAGGAAAAGUACCUUGAAAGCAGUAACAAGGCUUUAAAAUUGCCAAAUAAUGGUUGAAAAAUACCAGUUAGCAAUUCCGGUGCAAACAGCAACAAAUACAGCAGCAAUUCACGGAAAUUUCAAACCGAAGUAAUGCUUAUGAACCCAAAAAAUGGGAAUGACCACUAGUAGCAAGUUUCGACUCAAAGCUUUAGAGAAAACCCAAGAAUUUGCAGCAAUUUAUGUCGAACUUAGGAACACCCUUUUAAUUUUCUUUUUUCGUCGACUUGACUCGAUUUCUGAACAGAGAAGGGGAAUUAAAGGUGGGGAAUAACGUUCCCUUUGUUGAAAAUCAGAAGAUGAGCGAGUUGAGGAAGGAUAAGGAAAGCGGAUGUUUUGAUUUUUCUUUGGAGAAAACGAGGGGAAAUAGGUUAGGUUUCAUUGGAUGUAGAAGAAGGAUGAAGCCAUUUGAAAAUGGAAUGGAGGACUGAAUUUUUGGUCUCUAGGCAGCCAUUAAAGGUGCUGCCCCUAGCUUCUCUCCAGGGGAGCCUCCCUAUCUCCUUAGGUUUUGUUAGGUUUUAAUUAAAAAGGGUCUUGGGGUCAAACCGGGUAGUGUC
This 8270-nucleotide long non-coding RNA is filed under the name Nicotiana tabacum (common tobacco). RNAcentral's name for it is "long non-coding RNA (NTAB_LNC003013)". Lineage: Eukaryota; Viridiplantae; Streptophyta; Magnoliopsida; Solanales; Solanaceae. The record is from RNAcentral.